This 443-nucleotide ribosomal RNA is filed under the name uncultured bacterium. Its description in RNAcentral is "partial 16S ribosomal RNA". It matches the Rfam family "Bacterial small subunit ribosomal RNA", at positions 338 to 795 of the family's 1533-position model. The record is from RNAcentral.
CCUACGGGGUGCAGCAGUGGGGAAUAUUGCACAAUGGGCGAAAGCCUGAUGCAGCAACGCCGCGUGAAGGAAGAAGGGUUUCGGCUCGUAAACUUCUAUCAACAGGGACGAAAGAAAUGACGGUACCUGAAUAAGAAGCCCCGGCUAACUACGUGCCAGCAGCCGCGGUAAUACGUAGGGGGCAAGCGUUAUCCGGAUUUACUGGGUGUAAAGGGAGCGUAGACGGCAAGGCAAGCCAGAAGUGAAAGGGCAGGGCUCAACCCUGUACAUGCUUUUGGAACUGUGGUGCUAGAGUGCAGGAGAGGUAAGUGGAAUUCCUAGUGUAGCGGUGAAAUGCGUAGAUAUUAGGAGGAACACCAGUGGUGAAGGCGGCUUACUGGACUGUAACUGACGUUGAGGCUCGAAAGCGUGGGGAGCAAACAGGAUUAGAUACCCUAGUAGUC